Molecule: ribosomal RNA, 253 nt
Filed under: uncultured bacterium
Lineage: Bacteria
Description: partial 16S ribosomal RNA
Rfam family: Bacterial small subunit ribosomal RNA
Source: RNAcentral
GACGUAGGGCGCGAGCGUUGUCCGGAUUUAUUGGGCGUAAAGAGCGUGUAGGCGGCCAUGUAGGUCCGGUGUGAAAACUCGAGGCUUAACCUCGAGAUGUCAUCGGAAACCAUUUGGCUAGAGUCCGGAAGAGGAGAGUGGAAUUCCUGGUGUAGCGGUGAAAUGCGCAGAUAUCAGGAAGAACACCAAUGGCGAAAGCAGCUCUCUGGGACGGUACUGACGCUGAGACGCGAAAGCGUGGGGAGCGAACAGG